UUUUUUAAUAGUCUAUGUAGUAGAUUGAUUUACAUAUGUUGAACCAUACCUACAUUUCUGAGGUGAAGCCUACUUGAUCAUGGUGGAUGAUCUUGGAUUUGAUUUGCAAGUAAUUUAUUGAGAAUUUUUUGCAUCUAUGUUUAUAGGGAAAAUUGAUCUUGUUAAAAGACUUAGGAAAUGUUCCUUCUGUUUCUAUUCUGUGGCAAAAUUUGAAGUCUGGGGCUUCUUUCUUGCAGGACUAUUAAAACUCUAUGCUGAAUCCAUCUUGCCUGAGGGUUUUGUUUUUUUUUUUAAUUUGUUUGGGAGACAUAAUUACUGUUUGUACCUCAGUAGGGGUAAUGGGUGUGUUUAAAUUUCUUAUAUAUUCUUUAUCUAUAUUUGGUAGAAGAUAUGUGUGCAUAUAUCUCCUUUUCAUUUAGAUUAUCCAGUUUGGUGAAAUACUGAUAUUUAGAUGUUUUAAAUUAUGUCCUCAUGAUUCUUUGGAUUUCCUCAUUGUCUGCUAUCCUCCUUUUUUGUCUCUAUGUUUUUUAACUCUGGAUAGUCUCUCUCCAUCUUUUAUUUUAUUUGGUUAAGGAGUUAUUAAUUCUAUUGAUCUUUCUCAAAGAGUUGACUUUUUGUUUCAUUGAGUCAUUUUAUUGUUUCUCUUGUCUCUAUUGAUUUCAGCCCUGAGUUUGAUUAUUUCUUGCUGACUACAAGUGUUACUUCUUUUUGUUCUGGAUCUUUCAAAUGUGCUGUUGUAGUUGUGAAUUUGAGAUCACUCCAGUUUUUGUUUUUUUCCCCACAGGCAGUUAGUGCUUUGACCUUGCCUCUUAGAACUGCCUUCAUUGUGUCCUAUAGAUUGCAGUACAUGUGUUUUUUACUUUCAUUCAAUUCUAAGAAGUUUCCUUUUUUAUUUCUCUGUUAACCAUUUUUUCAUUCAGUAGUAAGUUGUUAAAUUUUCUUACUUUUUUAUACUUUUUUGUUGUUGAUAUCCAGCUUUAACCAUAGCAGUCAGAUAGGAUAUAGGGAGUUAUUUCAGUUUUCUUGUAUCUGUUGGAACUUGCGCUUUGUCUGAGUAUGUGGUCAAUUUGGAGGACGUUCCAUGAGGUGCUGAGAAGCUAUAUUCUGUGGUUUUUGAGUGACAUGUUCUGUAUAUACCUGUUAAGUCCAUUUGGUUUAUGACAUCAGUUAGCUGCUGCAUUUCUCUUCUUUAGUUUUUGUCUGAAUUACUUGUCUAUUGGCAAGAGUGGGUUAUUGAAGUUUCCCAUUAUUACUGUGUGAGGAUCAAUAUGUGAUAUAACUUGUAGUAGUAAUUCUCUUACAAACUUGUUGCCCUUGUGUUUGGGGGAUAAUAAUAUUGCAAUGAUGUCGUCUUGGUGGGUUUUUCCUUUGAGUAUGUAGUGUAUUCAUUAACUCUUCUUAUCAGCAUAGGUUUGACAUCUAUUUUGUCAGAUAUUAAAAUAGCUACACCUGCUUGUUCUUAAGCUUGGAAUAUCUUCUUCCUUGAUAAAUACCUCCUUUUUUGAGGUUACAGAAAUUUUCUUCUAUUAUUUUGUAGAUUUACUUUUUUCUUUAAAAAAAAAAACAUUUAUUUAUUUUAUGUAUGUGAGUAUACUGUAGCUGUCUUCAGCCACACCAGAAGAGGGUAUUGGAUGCUAUUACAGAUGGUUAUGAGCCACCAUGUGGUUGCUAGGAAUUGAACUCAGGACCUCUGGAAGAGCAGUAUCAUGGUUAGUGUGGGUCUUCCUAACUCAGUCUAAGCUAGAUAAUCUUGCACAAGCAUCCCUUGCUCAUAGGCUUUCCUCCUGGGUGAUUCUAGAUGUUGCCAAGUUGGCAAUAUUACUACCAUGACAUAAGUGUGAAGACCUGAGAGUGUUUGUACAGUGAUGUACAACUGUAUUGCAGCACUGAGGAAGUUGAGACAGGAGAAUUCCUUAGGCUCCUUUGUUGGCCAGUUUAGCCAAAGUGGCAAGUUCCUCGUUCACUGUCUUAAAUAAAAAUAAUUGAGGAUGAUACCUGACAUUAACAUUUGCCCCUCCAUGUGCACAGGUAUGCAUAUGUACGUGCACAUAAAUGAGCAUGUGUACACAUAUGGCCAUACAGACAGACACUAACAUGGAUGGACACAGAAUGUUAUUGAAUGUUUGAUGUGAAAGUGUGAGAUUAAGCAUUCUUUUCUGUAUUUGAUUAUGUAUAUUUCUUUUCUUUGUAAAUUAUCCAUUCAAGUUAUUCAUUCAUUUGUUUUUCUUUGUACCAGUUUGAAUUUUAAGUGUAGUUUGAAUUUCAAGUCCUUUUGGCAUAUGCAUUGCACCUUAUUGCUAGUUUAUGCCUUAUAUUUUAAUUUUGUUGUUGUUGUUUGAGACAUUAUUUCUCUGUGUAGCUCUGGAUGUCCUGCCUCUGGAUAGCCUGCCUCUGCCCUCCCACUUGCUGGGUGCUGGGAUUAAAGGCAUGUGCUAUACCACCCAGAUGUAUUCAUUUUCUUAAUGAUCUUUUCUGCAGAAUAAAAUUCUAUUUUAUACAUGAUAAAUAUCUAUGAAAUAUCUAUUUCAUAGAUAUUUUUUCAUGAUGUGUAAGAGUUCAUUGACUCUUCCUAUAAUACUAAGAUCUUUUUCUUCUUAAAAAAAUAUUUAUUGUUUACAUUCUAAAUUUAAAAAUAGUUUUCUGCCCAAGUAUUAGAGCAGUUAAUAUGAAUUACAUUAUUUAAAUUUUUAAUUUCAAUGUCAAAUCUUUCAUUUUUAUUAUGUAAUUUACCUGUUUUGUGUGCAUAUCUUAUGAACUUUGUAUUCUAUAACAUUUGUAGUUUUGCCUAUUUGAGUGUUUGGAUUUUUUUUUUUUUGAUAAAAUUCUUGAGGAUUUUUUUGUUGUUAUCGACUAUACAACUAUUCGCAUAUAGGGUAUUUUAUUUAUUUAUUGUUGUAUUACUUUUAUUAUCUUCUAUGCCUUAUUACUCUGGCUUAGACUCCCAAUUCUAUUCUUUCUCAUUUUAAAGAUAUUUUAACUUUUAUUACUAUCUGGGUAAGCAUAUGUCACGUGUGUUGGGGGAUGCUCUUGUUGCAACCAGAGUACAGGUGGUAUUGAGCUUUGGACAAUGAGAGCUGAGAACUGAACUGAGGUCUUCUGGAUUUGCCACAAGUGCUCUUAGCUGCUCUACCAUCUCUCCACAUCUGUAUACCCCCUAGUUUCAUUUUCACUGUGAAUCAGUGAACAGCGUCUUUCACUGUUUUUGAUCUUGGGAUUCAGUCUUUCAUCAUGAAGAAAGAUAAUAGCUGGAGAUCUCUUUUUUGAUUCUGUAUUAGCUACUUUUGCCCAAAUGUGACUCGAAAUGG
RNAcentral lists this long non-coding RNA (3305 nucleotides) under Mus musculus (house mouse). RNAcentral's name for it is "long non-coding RNA chr3:67105469-67108774". The record is from RNAcentral. Lineage: Eukaryota; Metazoa; Chordata; Mammalia; Rodentia; Muridae.